RNAcentral lists this ribosomal RNA (434 nucleotides) under Copelatus sp. IR 147. RNAcentral's name for it is "partial 16S ribosomal RNA". RNAcentral also lists the same sequence under 1 other name. The record is from RNAcentral. Lineage: Eukaryota; Metazoa; Arthropoda; Insecta; Coleoptera; Dytiscidae.
CCUGCCCACUGAUUUAUUAAAUGGCCGCAGUAAUUUAACUGUGCAAAGGUAGCAUAAUCAUUAGUUUUUUAAUUAAAAGCUUGUAUGAAGGGUUGGACGAAGUAAGAUCUGUCUCUAUUUAAUUUAUAGUAGAAUUUAAUUUUUAAGUUAAAAAGCUUAAAUUUAUAUAAAAGACGAGAAGACCCUAUAGAUCUUUAUAUUUUUAUAAAUAUUUUUAGUUAAGAAUAUUUUAUUUUUUAUUUAUAUAAGUAUUUUAUUGGGGUAAUAAAGAGAUUAAAUUAAUUCUUUUUUAUAUAGAAUAUUAAUUAAUAAAUAUAUGAUCCAAUAAUUUUGAUUAUAAGAUUAAGUUACCUUAGGGAUAACAGCGUAAUUUUUUUAGAGAGUUCAUAUCGAUAAAAAAGUUUGCGACCUCGAUGUUGGAUUAAAAAUUAUUU